GGGAGUAUAGUUAAUAAUAACAUUUAAUUUGCAAUUAAAAGGUACUUUUAGUUAUUCUCA
Molecule: transfer RNA, 60 nt
Filed under: Aradacanthia heissi
Lineage: Eukaryota; Metazoa; Arthropoda; Insecta; Hemiptera; Aradidae
Description: tRNA-Ala
Rfam family: tRNA
About the family: Transfer RNA (tRNA) molecules are approximately 80 nucleotides in length.
Source: RNAcentral